This 131-nucleotide small RNA is filed under the name Salmonella enterica. RNAcentral describes it as "RtT sRNA". It matches the Rfam family "RtT RNA". From Rfam's summary of the family: This family represents a bacterial cis-regulatory element known as RtT RNA. The exact function of RtT is unknown although it is thought that it may be involved in changing the cellular response in relation to amino acid starvation. Lineage: Bacteria; Pseudomonadati; Pseudomonadota; Gammaproteobacteria; Enterobacterales; Enterobacteriaceae. The record is from RNAcentral.
AUAUCUCUCUGUACAGGAAGGAUGAGAAGCUUCGACUAAGGUUCGAUUCGAGCGCAGCGAGAAAGCGUUGCCGCAGGCAACGACCCGAAGGGCGAAGCGCGCAGCGCUGAGUAAUCCUUCCCCCACCACCA